This 58-nucleotide ribosomal RNA is filed under the name uncultured eukaryote. Its description in RNAcentral is "partial Eukaryotic large subunit ribosomal RNA". The record is from RNAcentral.
AUUGGAAGUUGCAUAGCCGAAGUGGAGAACGGGUCCAUGUGAACAGCAAUCGGGCUUG